GACGUAGGGUCCAAGCGUUCCGGAUUUACUGGGCGUAAAGAGUGCGUAGGCGGCUCGUUAAGUGUAGAGUGAAAUCUCUGGGCUCACCCCAGAAACUGCUCUGCAUACUGGCGAGCUAGAGGGUCGAAGAGGUAUGUGGAAUUCCUGGUGUAGCGGUGAAAUGCGUUGAUAUCAGGAGGAACACCCAUGGCGAAGGCAGGUCUCUGGGCCGAUACUGACGCUGAGGAGCGAAAGCGUGGGGAGCGAACAGG
Molecule: ribosomal RNA, 251 nt
Filed under: uncultured bacterium
Lineage: Bacteria
Description: partial 16S ribosomal RNA
Rfam family: Bacterial small subunit ribosomal RNA
Source: RNAcentral